This 482-nucleotide ribosomal RNA is filed under the name uncultured bacterium. RNAcentral's name for it is "partial 16S ribosomal RNA". It matches the Rfam family "Bacterial small subunit ribosomal RNA", at positions 28 to 507 of the family's 1533-position model. The record is from RNAcentral.
GACGAACGCUGGCGGCGUGCUUAACACAUGCAAGUCGAACGAUGAAGAAGAGAAACGCGAACUUCGGUUCAAAUUUCACUUCGGAUUAGUGGCAGACGGGUGAGUAACGCGUGAGCAACCUACCUCUUACAAAGGGAUAGCCUCGGGAAACCGAGAUUAAUACCAUAUGACACAUUCAUAAGGCAUCGUAAGAAUGUUAAAGCUACGGCGGUACGAGAUGGGCUGGCGUAGCAUUAGCUAGUAGGUGAGGUAACGGCCCACCAAGGGGACGAUGGGUACCCGGCAUGAGAGAGUGAGCGGUGACACUGGAGCGGAGCAGCGGUCGAAACUCCUACGGGAGGCGGCAAAGGGUGAUGGUGCACAAUCGAGUGAACGAUGAUGCUGCGACGACGGGAGAGCGAUGUAGGUAUGCAUUACGUAAAGCGCUGUUAUAUGGGAAGAAAAGGACUGUACCAUAGGAGAAAGCCCCGGCUAAAUACGUG